UACAGAGGGGGCAAGCGUUGUUCGGAAUUACUGGGCGUAAAGGGCGCGUAGGCGGCCAACUAAGUCGGAUGUGAAAUCCCCAGGCUUAACCUGGGAACUGCAUCCGAUACUGGAUGGCUUGAAUCCGGGAAAGGGAUGCAGAAUUCCAGGUGUAGCGGUGAAAUGCGUAGAUAUCUGGAGGAAUACCGGUGGCGAAGGCGGCAUCCUGGACCGGCAUUGACGCUGAUGAGCGAAAGCUAGGGGAGCAAACGGG
This 253-nucleotide ribosomal RNA is filed under the name uncultured bacterium. Its description in RNAcentral is "partial 16S ribosomal RNA". It matches the Rfam family "Bacterial small subunit ribosomal RNA", at positions 524 to 776 of the family's 1533-position model. The record is from RNAcentral.